GCCCGAUUAACUCAGUUGGUUAGAGUGUCAGACUUUUAUGGCAAGAGAUCUGAAAGUCGCGAGUUCGACCCUCGCAUCGGGCG
Transfer RNA from Aspergillus fumigatus Af293, 83 nucleotides. It matches the Rfam family "tRNA". From Rfam's summary of the family: Transfer RNA (tRNA) molecules are approximately 80 nucleotides in length. Their secondary structure includes four short double-helical elements and three loops (D, anti-codon, and T loops). Further hydrogen bonds mediate the characteristic L-shaped molecular structure. tRNAs have two regions of fundamental functional importance: the anti-codon, which is responsible for specific mRNA codon recognition, and the 3' end, to which the tRNAs corresponding amino acid is attached (by aminoacyl-tRNA synthetases). tRNAs cope with the degeneracy of the genetic code in two manners: having more than one tRNA (with a specific anti-codon) for a particular amino acid; and 'wobble' base-pairing, i.e. permitting non-standard base-pairing at the 3rd anti-codon position. The record is from Rfam. Lineage: Eukaryota; Fungi; Ascomycota; Eurotiomycetes; Eurotiales; Aspergillaceae.